GAUCCGGGCUCAGGAUGAACGCUAGCGACAGGCUUAACACAUGCAAGUCGAGGGGCAGCACAGGUAGCAAUACCGGGUGGCGACCGGCGCACGGGUGAGUAACGCGUAUGCAACUUGCCUAUCAGAGGGGGAUAACCCGGCGAAAGUCGGGCUAAUACCGCAUGAAGCAGGGGCCCCGCAUGGGGAUAUUUGCUAAAGAUUCAUCGCUGAUAGAUAGGCAUGCGUUCCAUUAGG
RNAcentral lists this ribosomal RNA (234 nucleotides) under uncultured bacterium. Its description in RNAcentral is "partial 16S ribosomal RNA". It matches the Rfam family "Bacterial small subunit ribosomal RNA", at positions 15 to 245 of the family's 1533-position model. The record is from RNAcentral.